This 932-nucleotide long non-coding RNA is filed under the name Homo sapiens (human). RNAcentral's name for it is "HSALNT0144239". Lineage: Eukaryota; Metazoa; Chordata; Mammalia; Primates; Hominidae. The record is from RNAcentral.
GGAGGCCAAAUGCGUGCUGAGAUUAGCAUGUGCAGGGUCUGUCCUUGGCCCUUUCCAUAGUUUCCCUAAGAGAGUCAUUAGGUUGACCCCUAGAUCUGGCCUAAAUCCAUCGGCUUACGUAUUUAUAUUGGGCUUCACAGGCUGCAUGGAAACCCUUCGCUAGCGUCCCACAUGGAAUCCAAGAGCAGAAGGUGAGGCUUGGCCUUAUGGGGUGGGAGACAGGACUGGGGAGGAGUUAGCCUCCUCCUUUCUAAGAUCUGAUUUUUGUGUAACUCUGAAGCAUAAAAUGGUGGCCCUAACCCAAGGGCUACCUGACCUUUUGGUUCUUGAACCCCAAACUAAUCAGGUGUUUCUGUCUCUUAAGGGGAAGAAUCUCAUCGGUCCAGCUCUACUCAGCAGUUCACUGAGCACGUGACUCAUGCCACCACCUAUUGAUGUCUUGGGAUUCUGGAGCAUCAGCUGGCCUCUGCUAUCAAUAAGCCUGCUUCGGGCAGCUUCCUCUCCCUUUUUAUGGAAUGGACUAAGAAAUCUACAUGGUUGGGGUUGUGCGAAAAUCAAGAGCAGUGAGGUUUAGGCUGGAGAUCUGGAGACAUUCGUUACAGAAUAAAACAUAUGAAACAGUGCACGGGCUUUGUGACAGCUUGUUUGUCUCCUCAGAAGCCAUUUUUGCUCAGUCCUACAUUUAGAAAGAACCCAGAUUCAACUAGAAAUUGGCUCUCUGAAUACAGAGGAUGCCUUUGAAUUCCGAUUUUGUCAGUAGGGGUGAUGGAGAACACUGGCAUCUCUGCAAUAUGCUUUUGAAAAUAAAAUGCUUCAUAAUAAAAUGCUCUGGCCGUUUCCCCUAAAUCCCAUUUCCCCCCCCCAAUUCAGCCGCCUGACGUCCUAAAACAUUGCCCUAACAUCUAUACAUUCAUCUUAAUCUGAGGCACCCA